RNAcentral lists this long non-coding RNA (571 nucleotides) under Lupinus angustifolius (narrow-leaved blue lupine). RNAcentral describes it as "long non-coding RNA (LANG_LNC002256)". Lineage: Eukaryota; Viridiplantae; Streptophyta; Magnoliopsida; Fabales; Fabaceae. The record is from RNAcentral.
UCCUUCUUGGGAACUCGAGAGUGGAAAUGAUUGAGCAAAAACUUAGGAAGCUCAUAGCUUUCACAUUCGAAGUAAGACGAGGUAUGAGAGCAUGUUGUAUACAUCCUACAUUGUAGGUGAAAAUUUGAGAUCAAUCCAUGACACAAGUCAGAAGGUUUAGUAUAAGUAUUGCUUUUGGAAAAGGAAACACUAUUCUACUUGUCUUAGGUGUUUUUUAUGCUAACUUUCUAAUAGCCAUCAUAUUCUAGUAAGUAGAAAAAACUUUUUUGUUUAAGUUGAUCAUAGAUUCCCUUGCAUUCAUGCAACUUGGUUGCAGACUGUUGAAGCUGAAUUUUAUUGCCUGGAUGCAAAGUACCGUGAAGCUGAGAAGGAAGUCAUAUGUUGCAAAUGAAAAUACAAGAAGUUAAGACUAACCUGUCCACAAACACCACAAGGAUUUAGAAUGUAAAUGCUAUCUAUCAUUCCAAGAAGUUAUUAUAAAUAUUGUAGCUUUUGAGUUCUCAGUUCUGAGUCUUUCAUGUUGCAUUGGCUCAGUGUUCAGCAAAAUUUUCAGUUUUAUUUUUAAUGAAGG